RNAcentral lists this long non-coding RNA (1377 nucleotides) under Selaginella moellendorffii. RNAcentral describes it as "long non-coding RNA (SMOE_LNC001577)". The record is from RNAcentral. Lineage: Eukaryota; Viridiplantae; Streptophyta; Lycopodiopsida; Selaginellales; Selaginellaceae.
UAGGACUUGGAAUUAAUCAAAAAGAAAAGUCCACUGUAGGAAGAAGUCGGAAGGAACGAUUGGAAGGAGCUCAUGACUCUCGCAAUGAGCCAAGAGCCGGGAAGCCUGACGACUGAGACAGAACGAGCCAAAGAGAUACUCUGCUCCAUGCUCCUGGGAAACAAGUCAGUGAUUAACCACAAGGAACUCAAGCUGACAACACACCUGGGACAAGGAGCUUACGGAACCGUGUACGAAGCAAUGUGGCUCGGUCACAAGUUCGCGGUGAAAGUCUUCCCUCAAGGUGACACCAGCUUUGCCAAAGAGCUCGCGGUUCUCGGAGCUCACAAGCAUCCCAACGUGUUGCACAUUGCCGGCCAUUCUUUCGAUGGAGAGAAGCAGCAGUACUCGCUGGUGAUGGAGAAGAUGGACAUGGACCUAGCAAACUACCUCCUCAAGAAGAACUCCCUCUCGUUGCUGUCGAUCGUGGCAGUGAUGCUCCAAGUCGGAAUCAAAUUUGUGACCAUCUUCUCCCGCUACUGUCAUCAAGGGCCUAAAACAUACACCAAUUUUCUUGUCUGAUUAAAGUAUGAUUCCCAGAAAAAAAAUAAAAUGCCUUAGGACAUUAGAAUUAUUCAAAAAGAAAAGUCCACGGUAGACUUUUCCCACGCUAUACCUUUACAAGAAUGGUGCGGCGCUGGUAACGGACAUGGCAGCAGCGACUUUGCUCGAGGCGAUUCGAAUCGCGGACAAGGUUGGCACAAUAUCCACUUCCAGCAAGGUCUGUAGAAACCAACAUAGGAUCCUCAUCGCGGCAGUUGGCUAUGUCCGAGACUACCUCAAGCAAAUCCAGGAUCUCAACUUCGCGAGCAACGGGCCAGCCUUCGUGUGGGACGAAACCGUGGCUGUCCUUAACAGAGGCCUCCAUCUCCUCAAGUCGUGCCAAGAAGGCAAUUGGAUCACGCGGAGCCUGCUGUUCAAGGAAAGCUGCGAUGAGUUCCAGAGCAUUUAUCCCGAGAUCCACAACUGCGUCGAGCUCGUCAGCGUCUAUCUCUUUCAGCUGGCACCGUCCACCUCGCACAGAUCCAGGAUUGCCGAGGCUUACAACUCGUGCCUCAUGUGGCAGAACUCGAGCAGCAUGCUGGAAGAAGCCGGAAGGAACGAUCGGAAGGAGCUCAUGGCUCUCGCAAUGAGCCAAGAGCCGGGAAGCCUGACGACCGAGACAGAACGAGCCAAAGAGAUACUCUGCUCCGUGCUCCUGGGAAACAAGUCAGUGAUUAACCACAAGGAACUCAAGCUGACAACACACCUGGGACAAGGAGCUUACGGAACCGUGUACGAAGCAAUCUGGCUCGGUCACAAGUUUGCAGUGAAAGUCUUCCCUCAAGGUGACACCAG